CCUACGGAGGCAGCAGUGGGGAAUUUUGGACAAUGGACGCAAGUCUGAUCCAGCAAUGCCGCGUGCAGGACGAAGGCCUUCGGGUUGUAAACUGCUUUUGUACAGAACGAAAAGGCUCUGGUUAAUACCUGGGGCUCAUGACGGUACUGUAAGAAUAAGCACCGGCUAACUACGUGCCAGCAGCCGCGGUAAUA
RNAcentral lists this ribosomal RNA (194 nucleotides) under uncultured Allobrachymonas sp. RNAcentral's name for it is "uncultured Brachymonas sp. partial 16S ribosomal RNA". It matches the Rfam family "Bacterial small subunit ribosomal RNA", at positions 338 to 525 of the family's 1533-position model. Lineage: Bacteria; Pseudomonadati; Pseudomonadota; Betaproteobacteria; Burkholderiales; Comamonadaceae. The record is from RNAcentral.